UAUCUCUGUAGAGUCUGCAUAUCAAUAAGCGGAGGAAAAGAAACUAACAAGGAUUCCCUUAGUAACGGCGAGUGAAGCGGGAAGAGCUCAAAUUUGAAAUCUUCAAGGUUCUACCUUGACGAAUUGUAGUUUAAAGAAGUGUUUUCUGUUGGUGUUUUGGUAAAAGUUCUUUGGAAUAGGACAUCAUAGAGGGUGAGAAUCCCGUAUUUGACCAUUACUUCCAGCGUUGUGAUACACUUUCAAAGAGUCGGAUUGUUUGGGAAUGCAGUCCAAAAUGGGUGGUAAAUUUCAUCUAAAGCUAAAUAUUGGCGAGAGACCGAUAGCGAACAAGUACCGUGAGGGAAAGAUGAAAAGAACUUUGAAAAGAGAGUUAAACAGUACGUGAAAUUGUCAAAAGGGAAGCGUUUGACACCAGUGUUGUUUUCUCGAAAAUCAAUUAAAAAAGGCAGGAUUUUGUGUUGUAUUGACUUUAUCAGCUUUCUGCACUCUUUUCUUGUCUUUUUUUAAUGCACUUUUCGUUUAACAAGUCAACAUCAAUUUCUUUUGUUGUAAAAGAGUCAUUGGAAGGUGGCUUUCACUUCAGUGAAAGUGUUUAUAGCCUUUGGCUUCUGCAAUCGGAGAGAUUGAGGUCUGCAGCGUAGAUCCUUCGGGACUAGAUACAGUUAGAUGCUAAGUUAUAGCCUUUUCAUAGACAACUUGUUGACUAUAAUCAUCAUGUAGCUUACUCGCUUAUGGCUAUUUUACCUACGCUUAGGAUGUUGAUAGUCACAGCGUGUA
Molecule: ribosomal RNA, 777 nt
Filed under: uncultured Neocallimastigales
Lineage: Eukaryota; Fungi; Neocallimastigomycota; Neocallimastigomycetes; Neocallimastigales
Description: partial large subunit ribosomal RNA
Rfam family: Eukaryotic large subunit ribosomal RNA
Source: RNAcentral